CCUACGGGGCGCAGCAGUGGGGAAUAUUGGUCAAUGGGCGCAAGCCUGACCCAGCAACGCCGCGUGAAGGAAGAAGGCUUUCGGGUUGUAAACUUCUUUUCUGGGGGACGAACAAAUGACGGUACCCCAGGAAUAAGCCACGGCUAACUACGUGCCAGCAGCCGCGGUAAUACGUAGGUGGCAAGCGUUGUCCGGAUUUACUGGGUGUAAAGGGCGUGCAGCCGGGCUGACAAGUCAGAUGUGAAAUCCCGCGGCUCAACCGCGGAACUGCAUUUGAAACUGUCAUUCUUGAGUAACGG
Molecule: ribosomal RNA, 299 nt
Filed under: uncultured bacterium
Lineage: Bacteria
Description: partial 16S ribosomal RNA
Rfam family: Bacterial small subunit ribosomal RNA
Source: RNAcentral